GAGUAAUAUAUCGGAACGUGCCCAGUAGUGGGGGAUAACUGCUCGAAAGAGCAGCUAAUACCGCAUACGACCUGAGGGUGAAAGGGGGGGAUCGCAAGACCUCUCGCUAUUGGAGCGGCCGAUAUCAGAUUAGCUAGUUGGUGGGGUAAAGGCCUACCAAGGCAACGAUCUGUAGUUGGUCUGAGAGGACGACCAGCCACACUGGGACUGAGACACGGCCCAGACUCCUACGGGAGGCAGCAGUGGGGAAUUUUGGACAAUGGGCGCAAGCCUGAUCCAGCAAUGCCGCGUGCAGGAAGAAGGCCUUCGGGUUGUAAACUGCUUUUGUCAGGGAAGAAAUCUUCUGGGCUAAUACCCCGGGAGGAUGACGGUACCUGAAGAAUAAGCACCGGCUAACUACGUGCCAGCAGCCGCGGUAAUACGUAGGGUGCGAGCGUUAAUCGGAAUUACUGGGCGUAAAGCGUGCGCAGGCGGCUUUGCAAGACAGAUGUGAAAUCCCCGGGCUCAACCUGGGAACUGCAUUUGUGACUGCAAGGCUAGAGUACGGCAGAGGGGGAUGGAAUUCCGCGUGUAGCAGUGAAAUGCGUAGAUAUGCGGAGGAACACCAAUGGCGAAGGCAAUCCCCUGGGCCUGUACUGACGCUCAUGCACGAAAGCGUGGGGAGCAAACAGGAUUAGAUACCCUGGUAGUCCACGCCCUAAACGAUGUCAACUGGUUGUUGGACGGCUUGCUGUUCAGUAACGAAGCUAACGCGUGAAGUUGACCGCCUGGGGAGUACGGCCGCAAGGUUGAAACCCAAAGGAAUUGACGGGGACCCGCACAAGCGGUGGAUGAUGUGGUUUAAUUCGAUGCAACGCGAAAAACCUUACCUACCCUUGACAUGUCAAGAAUUCUGCAGAGAUGUGGAAGUGCUCGAAAGAGAACUUGAACACAGGUGCUGCAUGGCCGUCGUCAGCUCGUGUCGUGAGAUGUUGGGUUAAGUCCCGCGACGAGCGCAACCCUUGUCAUUAGUUGCUACGCAAGAGCACUCUAAUGAGACUGCCGGUGACAAACCGGAGGAAGGUGGGGAUGACGUCAGGUCCUCAUGGCCCUUAUGGGUAGGGCUACACACGUCAUACAAUGGCCGGUACAGAGGGCUGCCAACCCGCGAGGGGGAGCCAAUCCCAGAAAACCGGUCGUAGUCCGGAUCGUAGUCUGCAACUCGACUGCGUGAAGUCGGAAUCGCUAGUAAUCGCGGAUCAGCUUGCCGCGGUGAAUACGUUCCCGGGUCU
This 1271-nucleotide ribosomal RNA is filed under the name uncultured bacterium. RNAcentral describes it as "bacterial SSU rRNA". It matches the Rfam family "Bacterial small subunit ribosomal RNA", at positions 108 to 1381 of the family's 1533-position model. The record is from RNAcentral.